GACGUAGGUGGCAAGCGUUGUUCGGAAUCACUGGGCAUAAAGCGCGCGUAGGCGGCGGAGUAAGUCGGGUGUGAAAUCCCUCGGCUCAACCGAGGAACUGCGCCCGAUACUGCUUUGCUUGAGGGCCGGAGGGGAGAGUGGAAUUCCCGGUGGAGCGGUGAAAUGCGUAGAGAUCGGGAAGAACGCCGGCGGCGAAAGCGACUCUCUGGUCGGUACCUGACGCUGAGGCGCGAAAGCUAGGGGAGCAAACGGG
This 253-nucleotide ribosomal RNA is filed under the name Anaerolineae bacterium. Its description in RNAcentral is "partial 16S ribosomal RNA". It matches the Rfam family "Bacterial small subunit ribosomal RNA", at positions 524 to 776 of the family's 1533-position model. Lineage: Bacteria; Bacillati; Chloroflexota; Anaerolineae. The record is from RNAcentral. RNAcentral also lists the same sequence under 1 other name.